RNAcentral lists this long non-coding RNA (990 nucleotides) under Homo sapiens (human). RNAcentral describes it as "non-protein coding lnc-PURG-4:1". Lineage: Eukaryota; Metazoa; Chordata; Mammalia; Primates; Hominidae. The record is from RNAcentral.
AGGCAAAAUAGAAAAGGCAAAAAAACCGCUGCCGCCGCCUCAGUUACAGGGAGUGACAGGUCCCCCCACCCCCCGCGCCGCCGCCGCGCCCGAGCCCUGCUGUCGGGGCUGCUGUCACCGGAGGAGGACGUGGAGGUGGAGGAGCUGCUCCGCGGGUGACAGUCCUUUGUGUGAAGUGAUGCUGCGGCGGCUGCUGGGGCUGCGAGCAAGCGGCUGGGAGAGAGCGCGAGGGAGAGAGCCCUGGAGGCGGAGUUGCGUGCCUGGAAAUCGCUGGGUGGCCGCGGCGGCGACAGCGUCCUGCGCCUCGCCAGCCUGUUUACCUGUGGUGCCAACUCGGCCCGCGCGUCCUUUCCCCAUGCUGCUGCCGGAGCGGAGCGGGACCCGCGAGUGGGUCCUCCUGGGCGUCCCCGUCCCCGCGCGCCUCCUCCCUCUCUGUCGCCCCGAGUGCUGCAAUGGGAGGACGGGCGGCAAACAGGCUGCAGUCCGAGUGGGCUGCGGAGGCUUACUGGGGAGUGAGAGGUGACGCUUCAGUGAGCAAGGACCUGUAGCCGGCGCAGGAUGCCCAGGCGCCGGUGGGAGGCAGGCAGAGAGGGGCAGGUGGGACCCCGGGCGUGCGGGUCCUCGGUGCAGAAAAGUUUUGGGUGAACCCGUUGCUUGACACUUAAAAGGGAGCAACAUGUUCGCAGGCGACAAGCAGCGAUUAAAACAACAACUUUAUAACGCUCUCUCUCCUUGCAGCGCGCACACACAGUGUGCACUUCAGAUGUGACGCCUCCUCUACUCCAUGCUCCUUUGAUCCUUCGGUCUUCAUGACCCCCGCCUUUUCUUUUACUGAAAUUCCUGCUUCACCAUGACUUUAUGACAUGUGUGGUACUGCUGAUAGGAGCAUAGUUUGAAUAAAAUAUUUGCUGAACGAGGCCAUUUUGUACAAAGUUUAUGGCACUUUGUCAACUAAUGGGUUUUGCAAAAAAUAAAAAUAAAAAGUGAAAU